This 70-nucleotide transfer RNA is filed under the name Homoserinibacter gongjuensis. RNAcentral describes it as "tRNA-Ala". Lineage: Bacteria; Bacillati; Actinomycetota; Actinomycetes; Micrococcales; Microbacteriaceae. The record is from RNAcentral.
AUGCCGGUCGCGGAGAUCGCGCGCGAGCUGGCGUCACGCGCCGCACCCGGUUCGCUGCCGGGCCGGUAUU